Molecule: non-coding RNA, 657 nt
Organism: Equus caballus (horse)
Lineage: Eukaryota; Metazoa; Chordata; Mammalia; Perissodactyla; Equidae
Source: the annotation of a RefSeq genome assembly
GGAGUGACCCCCACCAUGGUGAAGUCAACAGCAGCACUGUCAUCACAGGGAGAUCUACCUAUCAGGGACCAGGGACUCUCUGAACUCCCACCUCUCAACACAGAGAUCAGAGUCUGGAACAGACAGAUACCCUGUUCCUGUCCUGGCCCUGCCAUGGCUCUCAGGCUUCUCCACUGUGUGACCCUGUGUCUCCUUGGAAUAGGUCACAUGGGUGCCAUGGUCACCCAGAACCCGAGAUACCAGAUUACCAGGAAGGGAAAUCCAGUGAACCUGAGUUGUUCUCAGAAUCUGAAUCAUGACACUAUGUACUGGUACCAACAGAAGCCGAGCCAAGCCCCAAAGCUGCUGUUCUACUACUAUGAUAAAGAAUUUAACAAUGAAACAGACACCUCCAACAACUUCCAAUCCAGCCGGCCUAACACUUCCUUCUGUUCCCUUAGCAUCCGCUCCCCAGGUGUGGGGGACUCAGCAGUGUAUCUCUGUGCCAGCAGAGACACAGAGCCAAAGCACUGCCUCCCCACUGUGCAUAAACCUCUGUUUCCCAGAUGCAAGGACCUUCUUAGACCUCCCACCCCUCCUUCAACAAUAGGAAGUGGGUUUAUGGCUGUCUUUAUCUCCUUUGUAGACAGAAGUUGGGCAUAAAGCAAGAAAAACUGU